Molecule: long non-coding RNA, 3145 nt
Organism: Corvus hawaiiensis (hawaiian crow)
Lineage: Eukaryota; Metazoa; Chordata; Aves; Passeriformes; Corvidae
Exons: 2
Source: RefSeq, a predicted model, not a curated record
CGGCUUUACUGAGCUCUCCACGCUACAGCUUGAAGGUGCAGAGGCUGUCAUCAGACUGGUUGCCCAACGAAAUGGUAUAAAAUAUGUUAUGAAGGAGAGUGGCAGGCCAUUCUGGCUGAAUUCAGAAGUCCGUUUCACCUACAGUCCUGCCAGGAUAAGAUGCCUAUUGAAGAUGAUUUACAAGGUGAAAAGGAAAUGUGUGUGGAAACUGAGUGACAACAAUACUUCAAAGCUCAAACAAAGGAUUAUUUUAUUGAAUUUCUUGAAAGAAAUAGUUGGUUUCAUUCCCUUUCUCCAUAGCAAGAAAUUUUAGCACACUGCAACAGUUUUCCAUAAAACUUAUUGUCUUAACAAAAAUAUAUUAUUACUUAAAUAACUAAAGGUCCAGAUUUAAAACCACAAAUUCACAACCUGGAAGCACCCCACAAACCCUUUGUGAUUUUACAGUUGCAUGACAAAGAUAUGAAGGUUUGAUGGAUCUAAGAAGGGAUUUGUGGUCUGGAGAACUCAGUGAAAUUCCUUGGCCUGUCUUAUGCAGAAUGUCAGACUAGACUCUGGUGAUCACUUAAAAUAGAAUAAUUUAAAACAGAUUCAGUUCCAGCAGUUUCUAAAAGGUCUGGUAAGACUUAGUGAAUUAGCAUUUGGAAAGUUAGAUCAUACUCAUACUUCAAGUAGUCACAGCUUCUCCUCGGCACACUUUUUUUCCUAUGUGAUUAAUCAGGUAUGAGUAAUGUUUCUUGACCAGCAAAAGGAUCUGCAUCUAAGACACCUGAACCGCACCUGCUCCUCUGCUGUCUGUAAAAUUUGAAGCAGGAAGACUUCUUGGCUGACAAGCUGAAAAGUUUUGGAUCCAGUGGCUGUCCCAUCAUACGUACCAUUUUCACAUUACACUGCAAGUGAACCUGCCUAAAGACUUAUUUCAGGGAUAACAUUUGGGACCAGUGACAAAUGCCUGGCUGAUCCAGUUGUAUAACUUAUGCUAAGCUACAGAGACAACCCAGACAACCCUUAAGAAAUUGUUACAAGCUUGUGUUACAGCACUUCUAAAGAGGGAAGGAUGCUCCAGAGCCAAACCCCAUCAAGCCAAUGUCUUUAAUAUAUGAUUUUAAAGAUAAAGCACUGAAGUAAUUUAUAAAUUGUCUGUCACCAGUGGCUGAACAACACCUUCUUUCCAAGCAAGCUUGAGUUACACUUGAGAAAGUAUGUCCUGGCUGAGCACUGAACAUCAUUCAACUUGCUGAAGUUGGGUUUGAAAGUGAUAUGGGCACAGAUGCAGUGUUCAAAGGCCAGUCGGCUGUGUCUGACACCAUAUACCACCAUAUGCUUUUAGACAAAAUAAAGUACAUGAGAGAAAAUCAAUGCAUAUUAUGACUGAUAAAAUUUCUAUCUAAAAAAGGACAAAUUUCCCCAUAAUCAGCAAUGAUUUCUAUGCUUAACUCUGUAAGAAGAACUAAGAGUGGAGGCUACAGCAUGACCUACCACAUGGGUAUGUGCUUGAGUCUGUAUUAUCUAGCAUCUAUGUGAACAACCAAAAAUCCAUUCUCAUAGCAGAAGAAUUAUUCCUGCUACUAAUAUUUGUAACUCUGACUAGAUUAAGGGCUUCACGUGAUUGCAAACCAGAUUUAUGUCCAUAUUCCUCAGGUUUUCACAUUUUACUAACAAAACCCAAUAACAAACCAAUCCAAACCAAUCUGAUUAAACAGCAAGUCCCUUUUUUUUUUUUUUUUCUGAAAUCACAAGUCCAGUAAAUUUAGUGUAAUUUGGAACAGCCUAUUGUUUGCCCACUGUUGCGAUCCUGUUUAUUUUGAGCAUAUGCAGAAAAGAAAAAAUAUAAGUUCCAUGCAUAGAAUCAUAUAUUGAAGAAGCUCACAAAUUCUAAAUGGACAUUAACCAGAGAAAAUUAUGAAUGACUACACUUGCACUCUCCACGGGCUUAUUAUAAAAACAAGAAGGGGUCGUUCAUGCAGAGAAGUUAGACACUGUUAAGAGAAUGUUGCUGCUGUAUUAUUUAAUGCCUUUGAUUGGAUGAAUGGAACAAACUGCCUGGGCAUUUUGGGAUCAUCCCACUGAAAACCAAAAGCAGAGUUGUGAAUAAAGUGGAAUCCUUCCAACAGAUUGAAGACCGAGGGGCACGCUGCAGCUGUUGGCCAGCUGCUGUAAGAUUUCCAACUACAAUGGAGCCAUUUAAUAAAUCAUCAAGGGUUCUGCAUCCCAUUCAGUUUGUUUAGCAAAGAAAGAGAAAAUGAUCACUGACUUUUUCAAAUACCUACUUGGGAGUUCAAGAAUAGACUGACCAGUCUGGAAAUGUUUGACUUAUGUUCAAACACUGUUGAUGGCACAGAAGAUUUGUAUGAAUAUAAUACAUAGACAUGCCAACGUGGAAAAUCACAGAUCAAAAAAUAUCUUAAUGUACCAUGGAUGGUAAUUCUUCUAUGGAGUACAUCAUAUCAUGCAAACAAUUUUGGAAAAAACACACAGUGACCCUAGAAGGACAUAGGAAAAACAUCCCUGGUGCUCAGAAAUUAUAUUACUCUGUUUCCCUGUGCUAUUGCAUUUCAGCCAGCAUGCAUGCUUCAUAUUCCAAAUAAGUAUGGAAAGAUUUUCCAGAGAAAUUCAUACAGAUUAAUAUUAAGAAAAAUAGUGUUAUCCUGUAUUAGAUAAACUCUUUCAGUAACAAGUUCAGCUUUUCUGUAUGUUUGUUUGUUUUUUAAAUUCUGAGACAUAUCCACACCUUAAUCAGAGGUACCAUAGGACAAUUCAAAAAAUACUGUAAGGCUUUUGACUUAAAGAUCACACUGAUUCCCUAUCUCAGGUAAACAAUGUUAAUUAUUAAUUUGAUUUUUCUCUUAAAAAUGAGCUGGUUGUUUCAGAGCAAGUUCAGAUUGCUUGGCCCCAUUUAUGCUUUUAUGUCUGUCUCUGCAUCUCAUGACUUUGCAAAUAUAUAUCACUUCCUUUUCAAAUUGAAAACUCUAAAAGAUGUUUCUUUUUCUGGUUUUGAGGGAAAUUAAUAAUAUUAUUUUAUGAUGUUAUAUAAUAAUGACAAUUGUCCAAAAAUGCUUAGGAAAGAGGAUUUGAAGUAAAUUUUACAUGUCUUACCUUGGUGAAAAAAAACCCUAACAAUAUAAACACCCUACAGUGUUAUUAA